Long non-coding RNA from Panicum hallii, 314 nucleotides. RefSeq lists it as uncharacterized. The record is from RefSeq and is a predicted model, not a curated record. Lineage: Eukaryota; Viridiplantae; Streptophyta; Magnoliopsida; Poales; Poaceae. The transcript has 3 exons.
AAUGAGCUCGAGCGCAGGCAUCCGACCUCGUCCGGACAGUUCGACGACCCGUCUCCAGGCACUCCAGGCUCAGCUGGAAGAAGAGAGGAGAGAACGUAUGGAGUUGGAGGCAAGGAUGAGGGCGGAGAUGGAGGCCGAGCGGGAGGCUGACCGACAGAGGAUGGCGAGCAUGUUCGCGUACAUUCAGAGUCUUGGCGCCGCGACGGGUCUACCUCCGCCACCUCCCUUCGUCACCCCACCUAGACCACCCACCGAUCCGUUUUCUACUUCAAAUCAGUCGGCGGCCUCCAAUGAUCCUUAUAUUUCUCCAAAUC